Molecule: long non-coding RNA, 1327 nt
Filed under: Equus caballus (horse)
Lineage: Eukaryota; Metazoa; Chordata; Mammalia; Perissodactyla; Equidae
Description: lncRNA (ENSECAG00000060156.1)
Source: RNAcentral
GGGGAAUUCAGGAAUCAGUGAAGAGGUGGACACUUCCCAUCUCAAAAAGCUGACUCGUCUUCUUCCCACCAGGGGACCCCCAGCCCUCAGCUGGUGGGGGCAGGUCACAGAUAAGUCGUACAGACCCCCGACCUUCCUGCCUGCUCAAAGGCUCAGAGAGACAUGAACCCCAGUCAUCAGAACGCCACUCCCAGACCCUGGAUGAGGACUAGCGAGUUUGGGGAGGGUCUUGCCCCUUGGGGAAAUUGAAUCUUGGGGAAGGGGUGGUUAGAAGGGCCUGAGUCAGCAAUCUGAAAACCUCACGUGUGCCCACCCCAGCCUGGGGGCGGGCUGGGGAGAAGGAGGGAGCUGAAACAGAAAGAGAGAUGGAGAGACGGAGAAUGAAAGCAGGAGAGAGAGAAACUGAGACAAUGGACAGUCAGAAAGAGAGCAGCGGGCAGAACCGGGGGCGGGGCAGGGCACGGGAAGCAGGGAGAACCGCGGUAAUGGGGGUGCGGGCAGAAGGGGUCACAGGAAUGGUCAUCUUUUCCCUUUCAUCACUAGCAUCACAGAUGCACAAAGGUCAGCGCUGAAAUAAUCCCACUCUCACAAAGGAGGCUUAGUGACAGUCACCAAAAGGGAAAACCAACCUAGGGUAGGACCCACCCUCCUGUCUCCCAGUCUGGGCUCAUUUCCUAAGCCCCGAGGGAACGGGAGGACCAGGCUGCUGGGAUGUUGAGGCACAGCGGGGCAGUCCCAGCAUUCUCUGCUUAACCACCUGCCAGUCUGGGAGGGAAUAGGAUGCCGAGGCAAGCAAGGGGCUCUCUGAUCCCUCAGGUCCCAGGACACCUCUGGCAGAGAGGAAGCCUCCCUCUCCUCGGCCCAUCACGUUCGCCAUCUCCCACCUCCAAGCUGGGGCUGCCGCAUCAUUCCUUACCUUCUUUGGGACAGAAGUAAAUUCAAUGCACAAAGAUCAAGCACCAAAAGUGUUUGUGGGGGUCUGCGUGGUAGACACUGGGACAGGGGAGAAAUAUGUCAAAUAGCACAUAUUUCUUUCUCCGAGGAUCUCACAAGGGAUUGGUCUGACCCUCGGGAACAACCUGCAGGCUGCCCAUGGGAGGCAGCGCAGACUGGAGCCAUCUCAACAGUACCCUCACGGCCUCUGCAGACGGCGUUAGCUCUCAAAAGGCACUUGGGCAGCCUGGGGCACAGACAUCAGUGCCAAGAAUUUCUCUGGAGUCAACAUAGAGAAAUUAGGGGAGGGGCAAGGAUGGCACAGGGUGCAAGAGAAUCACACACGUUUUCCCCACACUGUCUGGCCUCUGCCCCUGGACACCUGGUCCCACCC